GGGGGACAACCCGCCGAAAGGCGGGCUAAACCCGCGUACAUGCCACCGGGGCAUCCCGGAGGCAGGAAAGGCUUCGGCCGGACAGGGAUGGGCAUGCGGCGCAUUAGGCAGUAGGCGGGGUAACGGCCCACCUAACCGACGAUGCGUAGGGGUUCUGAGAGGAAGGUCCCCCACACUGGUACUGAGACACGGACCAGACUCCUACGGGAGGCAGCAGUGAGGAAUAUUGGUCAAUGGUCGGGAGACUGAACCAGCCAAGCCGCGUGAGGGAUGAAGGUACAGAGUAUCGUAAACCUCUUUUGUCAGGGAACAAAGGCGGGGACGUGUCCCCGGAUGAGUGUACCUGAAGAAAAAGCAUCGGCUAACUCCGUGCCAGCAGCCGCGGUAAUACGGAGGAUGCGAGCGUUAUCCGGAUUUAUUGGGUUUAAAGGGUGCGCAGGCGGUCUGUUAAGUCAGCGGUCAAAGCCCGGGGCUCAACCCCGGCCCGCCGUUGAAACUGGCAGUCUCGAGUUGGAGAGAAGUAUGCGGGAUGCGCGGUGUAGCGGUGAAAUGCAUAGAUAUCGCGCAGAACUCCGAUUGCGAAGGCAGCAUGCCGGCUCCACACUGACGCUGAGGCACGAAAGCGUGGGUAUCGAACAGGAUUAGAUACCCUGGUAGUCCACGCAGUAAAC
This 671-nucleotide ribosomal RNA is filed under the name uncultured bacterium. Its description in RNAcentral is "bacterial SSU rRNA". It matches the Rfam family "Bacterial small subunit ribosomal RNA", at positions 138 to 807 of the family's 1533-position model. The record is from RNAcentral.